Pteropus alecto (black flying fox) is the source of this 109-nucleotide non-coding RNA. Lineage: Eukaryota; Metazoa; Chordata; Mammalia; Chiroptera; Pteropodidae. The record is from Rfam.
GUCUAUGGCCAUGCCACCUUGAACAAGCCUGAUCUCAGAAGCUAAGCAGAGUCAGGCCUGGUUAGUACUUGGAUGGGAGACCACCAAGGAAGAACAGGUGCUGUAGGCG